Molecule: transfer RNA, 71 nt
Filed under: Danio rerio (zebrafish)
Lineage: Eukaryota; Metazoa; Chordata; Actinopteri; Cypriniformes; Danionidae
Rfam family: tRNA
About the family: Transfer RNA (tRNA) molecules are approximately 80 nucleotides in length. Their secondary structure includes four short double-helical elements and three loops (D, anti-codon, and T loops).
Source: Rfam by way of RNAcentral
GCAUUGGUGGUUCAGUGGUAGCAUUCUCGCCUGCCACGCGGGAGACCCUAGUCCGCUUCCUGGCCAAUGCA